AAAAGAGAAGACAAAGAGUAAAUGGUUUUGCAUCCAAACUUCUCACUGAAAGAGGGGAAAAAAAAAAAAGAUGGAAAAAAAACACCCACACGCCACUAUGUUGGUUGAAUAUUAGCCACACAUGUGCUUUCUCAUCUUCCCUGGAAGGAGUUUUUCUUAUAAAAUAUACAUGUACUUUAUUAAGAAUGAUAGUAUGUCAGCAUGUGUAUGUGUCUUUAACAGAAAAGAAGAUCCUAAGCGUCCCUCCCAAUCUGAUUUCAAUUUUAAAACGUAACUGGAAAGUCACAUAGUUUGCAUGCUGCUGGGAAAGUUGCAGCCCAACGCUUGCAAAAUAGUGAGAAUUUUCAGUUUGUCACUCUUUUUUUUCCCCUCCCCUUCGCUUCCAAAAUAUACGAUAAAAAACUGGUCCAUUGUAACAGCCAGUAGUUUCUGCCACAACCCGUGGCUCUGCCUGUGCUCUGUGUGAGCAUGAGGACGGAGGCUCAGAGCAGUGAUCUGAGUGACUCCAUUUAGGUCCUCAGGCCUGGGAGAAGGGGAUACUGGCUCCAGAAGGCAUUGUUCACUGGAGGAUGCGGACGCAGAAUGUCUUCUGUGCCACUGCUUCACUCAGGGUUUCUGGAAUGGUCUGACCAUGUCCCUAGAAAACUGUAGCCUAGGGAAGCCAAAGAGAGAUCCUAGGCAAAGGGAAGGCUGUAUGGGAUAAUCAAAACUCUUGCAAAGCCGUGUUAGGAACCCACACACAGCUGUAUUUAGAAAAGCAUGGAAUCUGACAGCGUUCCACCCCUGGCUUUUCUGCCUGCUGGGUAUGUCCCCCCCCCGCCCCCCGCCCAAGCUAGUUGCUUGUCUCCUUGCACCUCUCUGCCUCCUCAGCUAGAAAUGCAGCGUAUCGGUAUUUGCAAGGGCCGUGAUAUUGUUAGGGUUGUUGGAGAUUUAAAUGAAACCACCAGUGCGAAGUGCUUAGCCCGGAUCAGCUCCUAGUUAAUAGAGGUGGGCUGCUGUUAUUUUUAACUUCUGCCGCUAAAUUAGCUGUGUGACCGGUGCGAACUGCUUAAUUUCUCCGGGCUUGUGUUUCCUCAUAUGAACUAGGUACCAUCCGAUAUGGAACACUUCACAGGAUGGGUAUGAGGAAUAAAGGGAUGAGUGCAGCGUUCCGGAUGGCAACUUUGAAGUAUGUGGAGAUGAGAGCGAUGCUUACAUUAGAAGCAAGAGGCAGCCAUCUUUGGCUCCCAAUGAUGGCUUAACAUCCUGUCAGGCAGAGAGAGGAAGUCAUUGCUUUCUUUUUGUUGGCAAUUCUAAAUUUAAAUGAAUGUCCUUGUCAGUGGUGACUGCAUCUAGGAAGUGACCCUGUAAACUUCCCAACUCUCACGUCUGCGAGAAUGUGCCUUUGUUGGUAAGCGAGCCCCAACUACCACAAAUCCUGCAGUAGACGUCGGAAGGCCAGAACAUCUAUGGGACCCCAGAAGUACUGAGAUAGAGUUGCUUUGUCCUAAAAAAUUUCUCAGACGAAUCGUAAACCGUCAAAGGUUUUAGCUACCUGGGAGAGAAAACCAGUUGGAAUCACAGUAGAAACUGUGAAUUUUAAAGUAUCAGUAAAGAAUGGAACUUCUGACUCCCAGAAGUGGAAUUUAGACAGCUGAAGAUGAAGUAAUUCUUUAGUUAUGGGUCUAGCAGCCUCCAGUCAGAAUGUCACUUUUCUCAGGGGAGACUCCAAGGCAAGAGCUCCCUGAAAACACUGCUGCAUCUCACCCGUGUCCGCAGGGACAGCGUGCAGAGGACAGACGUGUGAUCCCAGCUGCCUUACGAAUCCUGGAUACGUCCCGCUUACCCGCUCUGAGCAGUAUAGUGCCUGGAAGCUGGAGGGAGGAGAUGAACUCUAGAGCCUGAGUUUGAAGCCAGCCUCUGCCACCCACCCCUGUCGGAAGUCAAGCCACUCCAUAACCUCGCUGACCUUUCGCUUUCUCGUCUCUAAGGCCGACUACGUACCAGGCAGCGUGCUAGAGCACCCCAAGCCAGGAAACAAGAGCGCUCUUAUAAGGGGUAGAGUACCACGUGAUAGCCUCAAAGUACCCAGAGCUCUCAUCACCAUUCAAUCCUCUGAAAAUGAAGCUUGUGAAUCUCACUUCCUAGAGUCGCCGCCUCCUUCAAUACAAAGAGCCGGGACAUGCUUUCUACUAGGCACGUUGCCACUGUAGGUGGGUCAGCAGCCAGCCUUGCUUCAGACCAGCAGUCUUGAGGACAGUGCGUGAAUCUGAUGUUGUGUCCUGGAAGUGACUCCCUUAAAUGAUAUCUCGCCUAUUUUAAAAUGUCCUUCAUCGUGGUAUCAACUGUGGGGUUUAAGGGAGGGUCCACUUUUGGCUCAGCUUUGCCAAUGUGAUUCAGCUUCCAUUAGUCAUUUCUGCAAAUGGGAAGGAGAAAGGAAAUUUCUGGGUCCUCUGUGAGUUAGUGCAGCGGACCUGCAAGGUGCUUGGAUUUCGGUGACCAGAAAAUUGCUCUCACCUCCAUGUCAUUAUGCUCCCAGUGAACUAGCCCCCAAGCGUGUUUGUGUUGGGGAUCUAAUAUAUUGCCUUUCAAUCAGAGCUGAGAGCCACUGAACACACAGACAGAACAUGACGAGCAGGUCAGGAAAGCAAUAAAGAUUUUACAGAGCUGUCCAAGGUGCUAAAUUUACUCAAUAAUGGUUUUGGCACCAUAGUGUUAACCUCUCAUUUACUACCAGUUUGAGGGACUAAAUUGAAGUAGCUGACUUCAUUUACCUUGAAAUGUAUAUUUUAUGACAUUAUGUAAGUAGAUUGAAAGGGCACUGCAGUUUUAACAAUUUAAAGGCUAAAGCAUGUUUAAGAUGAAACUUGAAUAUUUAUUGUAUAUUGCACUUAAAGUAUAUAGAAUGUUAAAAUGUAUUGAUUAAAUUUGUAAAAGGCAUUAUAAAAAUGACAGGUAGUAUAAAAGAUGUAUGCCUCUUAAAAUCAAACUGAUAGUAUAUGCUAUCUCUUCGGUGGUCACAAGUGUAAUUUUUUUGCAGUUUUAUAUGGUAAUUUGAAAAUUCUGUAAUUUCACGUUAGGAAGUGAUCGAGCCUGGGAUGUUAAAGAGAGAAACUUCCCAUAAGGGGACAAGCUGGAUGUUUCAUAUAAUCUUCUGUCUCUGAAAUUGUUCCUAAAGUCUUAUUUUUUGCGACAUUAGGAGGGAGCAUCGUGUAAGGAUCCUUCCACUCUAAUAUGCAAUUUUAAUAUUUCUGAAAAGAGAGAGCACUCGACAAGUACUAAUAUCUAAUUUUUCAAAGCAUUUAUUUGUCAGGAGAGAUUGUCUCUUCUUUUCAUAAUGUUUAAAACGUCUCGCUGCUUGCGGUCUAAAACAUGAGGGUAGAGAUUAGACUCUUCCAAGAUAAUUAAUCCUAUCCUUGGAUUAAAAAAAAAUACAUAUCCCAUUGGGGAAUUAAGAAGACAAAUACCAGUACCCUCAACAGUGAAAAGCCUCAGAGUCUCCUUAUAGAGCUAAUGCUUGUUCUCCAACCUACAUCCUGAGUCAGACUAUUUUUCUUUUCAUGGCUUUGGAUUUCUUCUCUCUUAAAGAAAGAGAAAAUGUAUAGUCCUUAAAAACUGCAACAACUCUUUGCUGACCUAUUUCCUUUCUCAAUUAAAACCUGUCUUUACCUGCCUUGCUAUGACCAUCGACUGAUGAUUAUGUGAAUGGAGAUCUGGAGAGGAAAAAAAAAUGGAUGAACCAUACUAAAUCUGCUUAGAGUUAGUAGAAACACUAGGAAGAUUCAAGGAUGAGUGGGGUUCGAGAAACAGUUCAAGUAUAAUUGGUACAAGUUUUACCAUGUUUUGGAACCUUUAUAAUGAAAGUGCUGAACGGGCUACAAAUGCAGAGAGAAGAUUUGGCUUUACUUCCUAUGUUGCAACCCAAUCAAUUAGCAAAUAAGUAUUGAACUUUCUCUUGUCCCAGCAGUCACACACCGAUAUUACUCUCCAGCACCUUUCAAGGCACCCUGUCUUCCCAGAAUUAAGGUACGGCGUUCUGUGGGAAUUGCAAAAGAUUUCCGCCACCAUCUGGUCCUAUCCUCUUUAUCCAAUCUCCUCUCCCUAAACAUCUGAAGAACUGCCCUCUAUUCUGGGCUAGUUAGUCCUCUCCAGCCUGGGAAGUAACAUGUUGGGCUCCUUCCUAUCUCCAUACCUUUACUCAUUUUGCCUUUAUUUGGGAAGCUGGCUUCAGUCUGUGCCCAUUUACAAUAUCUUCCCAUCCUCUAGGGCCUGAUAAUGAAGGUGGUGCUGGUGGUGGUGGUAGAGCAGUGGAAAACAUAACUGUUGUUUAUGGAAAGGGAAACAUUAACUCAUUUACUCUCCGUGGUGAGACUCCGUAUCGCCAUUUGGCAGACGAGGAAACUGAGACUCAGAGAGGUCCGUCAGCUUGCCCUGACGUCACACGACUAAUGAAUGGCUGAGCAGGGAUUCAAUCUCAGGCCUGUUAGACAUCAGAGCCUGAACUCUUCAUAAUUACACUAUCAUAUCAGAACUAAUUCCACCUUCACUGAGACCCCAGCUCCUAACCUCUCUCAUUCCUCUGAAAAAUAGUGCUGAAUGCACUGCCCAGCACUGCACAGAAGUGGACACUGUGGGGUCAUUUUGUUCUGGUCUUAAAUGUGUGAGUCUACAAUCUCCACAACCAGACUACAGGCUCUUGGAGGUCUUAAUUUCCUUCUCUAAGCCCCUAGCACUAUGUUCGGCAAACCACAGCCCUUGAGAAAUUCUUGUUGAAGAGCUCAUUCUAAGAUCAUUACUGAUUUUUAAAAGCGCGUGCUUAACUUACAUGAGGAAAUGACCAAGUCAUGUAUUUGGCAUAGUUUAUAAAAGCAGAAGACUUAAAUUUGGUGCUCCAUUUGGCUCUAGACCUUUAAAUCCAAUAUAUAAAUUCCCAAAGGUCAAGUCUUGAUCACUGGGGGGUUUUUUAAUACCACUUUUUUUUUUUUUUUAAGUGAAUUUGCUCCUUCACUCCUGCUGGCUUGUACUUACAUUUUAAUUUUGUGAUUAAUAUAAUGAAUCAUGUCGGGUACAGACAUUAUCUCAAGUUAUAGGCUGCUAACAACAUGAGGUUUGUCUUGAUGUACGUCAGCCUUUUAUUAACUAUACUCCUAGGCUCUUAGAAAUACUUAGGUAUUUGCACCCUCUUAGGAACCAGGCGUAUCACGUCUGAUAUGCAGACAUGGCUCAUUCACCUUUCCUUCCAUUUCAUGACAGUAAACCCGCUGAGGAUUAAUCACCUUCCAUGUGAAUCUUCUCUGCAGCAUCUGAUCUCAAAUGUGUUGCUAAUAAUCUCAUAUUCACUGGGCCCACCUAGCCUUCCAGAGAGAAUGGGAAGGCUGUCUAACCAUCCAAUACUGAGCCCGUUUAUAAACCCAGUUCCAUGUUUUGAGUCAUUCAAACCCAGAUGAGCAGGCGAGAUGGCCUGAACUCUCUUUCAUUCAGAGCACAUGUAGACCAACUCAUAAAGCCAGAUGGGUACCCGUUUACCAACACAACAUUAUAAUUUCAAAUCUCAGGAUCAGAUUUUGAGACUCUGGGAACUCCCUCAUAAAAUUCAAGCCCAGGGAUGCUUCUGUAAUUUGGGAAGACAACCUGUGCUUGGCUUUAUGCUCCCUCAGUUAGAAAAUAAUGUUUUGAGGGACGAAGAAGAAAACAGAAGCUAAACGUAAACAUCAAUUAUCAAAGCCAGGUUGACCUGGGUGAUUCCCGAGAAAGAAGUACAAUACUUUCCUGUCACUGCACAUUGCCCUGUCGCCCAUUUAUCACCACUCUACUUUGCCCUAUCAGGAGAUUCAAGAUACAGUGGGUUCAAAUAUCAGCAAUACAAAAUGAAGAGGACCGGCAAAAUCACUCCUGAUUUAAAGUCGAUAAGCACCUAUCGGCACUGAAAUCAGCACUGAAUCCGUUCACCUCCUCACGUUGGAGUUUACUAUUGGGUCCAAAUUUUAAACAGUAUAUUCAGCUUACUAGCCUUUAACUUCUAGCUCUUUCCCCACUUGCUUCUGAAACUACUGAUUGGAAAGUCUAAAAGCUGAAAAAGUGAUUGGAAGUUUCUGGCAGCCCAUAUCCUGCAGAGCUGGAUGUACAAUGCAAUAAAUACUAGUUGACUGAGAGGUAUUUCUGUGGAGGGUAGUAUUAUGUCCCAACUUCCUUUGUGUUUAUUCAGCCAAAUGGAAAAUUCCACAGUGGUAGACUUUGCAUCCUAAAAAAUCAUAGAAUGAGGGCAGUGAGGGAAGGGGUAAAACAAACCAAAAUAAUACUUGAGCACUGUUUAGCUUCCGAUCCUCUGAGACAUUCCUUAAAUUUUUCAUUUUUUCUGGUAAUAUGAACUUCUCGAAGAGCUUACCGCAGAUCAUUAGAAACCUUUAUUGUCACACUUUAAACACGCUUUACUCAGAAGCCCUAUGACCGAGAGGAGUCACUCUCAUCUAGCAUGGAUAUAAUUAAACAUGUUUCCGCUGAAAGGGGCAUUCUCAUUAUGGCUAAGGACCACUUUAGAGUAAAUUGAAAUGGAAAGGAGGAGCAUAGAUGAGGUGUAGGUAGCAAGUGGUUAGUUCUAGGGAGGCAUAAAAUGCCAAAUGUGUAACAAUUAUAUUUUACAACCCUGCAUUCUGAAGACUUCAUAGCAUUUUAUUAUAGAAGAAGCUUCAGCUGAAGCUUACUGAACGAACAUUCUAGUGCACACUCAUUGCCCAUAGUCUUUAAAGAAACAUAAAAUUCAAACCAUCAUCAAAAUCUGCAGAAAUAUUCAAAACAAAGGAAUCAAAUAUUUUACAAGGGUCUACUGCUAUUCACACAAGAGGCAUCGAAAGUGUUCUAGUCUAAAGAAAAUGCAGGGGCUUGAAGGGGGGGGCUUCUGAACCUCCUCUAAUUUUAAAGUUGAUUUUGUGUUCAGAUUAGAUGACACCCCUCUUACUUCUCAAACAUAUGAUUAGGUAUCAUCGUGCCGCGUGGCUGGAGACGCGCCCAAAAGCUUUGCCUUUGUUACAAACGUGGAAGACUUCUGAAUCACAUGAAAUUAAGGUAGGUUGUAAGCUAACGCAGCUACAUCAACGUAAGACACACUAACUUACAUGACUGACUUUUACAGUGGAAAGGAAAAGGCUGUUUUCAGGCAGCUGUUAUUGCCUCAAUGGGAAAAAGAAAAAAAAAAAAAAUCAAUGAAAGUGAAAUGAACACGAGAUUUUGUCUGAGUUGCAGUUAAUACCACUGAAGAGCUAUGGAAAUUAAAAGGUCAACAAAUAAAUUAGCCAGAGUGUUAUGAAAUGAAUGAUUUGGCUUAUAAUUUUAUUGACUGAAAAUUGUUCACUGCCUAUUAGACCAGGUAAUUUUUAUCUGGUGCCUCAAUUACUGUUCCGUAAGCAAUAAUAUAGUUGUAAGAGCUGCUGAUUCGAUCGCGUGACCUCUGAGAAGCUGGCUAGGACAGCUGACUUUACUAUGAUGGAUAACCAAGCUUGGUCUCCACGAGGUGCGAAACCUCCCUUUCCUGCAAGGGGAUCUCAUAAAAGAAACACUACACUUGAUUCAUUUCACCAAAAUGUUUGACUUUUCAAGUGUCAGCAGUUAAGUAUAAAUUGUGAAGCCAGGUAUUCCUGAGAAGAGUGAUGACAAUGGCUUUCCCCCUCUUUUUGGUCUCCUGGCAUUCUCUUCUAAAUGGUGUCAUGGUAAUUGGUGAAUGGGAGCCUGGGGUGCUUCCCGGCACAAAUACAGUGAAAAAUGGUGUCUGCCCCCUUGUGAAUAUGACCUGCUUGGAGGUACAGAGCUGAACUUGGUAACCUCUGGCUGGCUCUUCUUAUUCCAAUUCAUUGUACUGGUUUAAGACCAACGCUCUGGGUUAGAUCCUGCUGAGUGGCCUUGGAAAUCGACUUUCUGAUCAGGAUGAAAGUCUCUGCUUAAAGAGAAGGCUGUGGACAGAGGUGGCUUUUUCAGGGCUAGGUUGUAAAGUCAGCACAUGAAACAAAAACUGCCUAGAGUCAAAAUUACCCUUGAAACUCUUUUAAGUUGCCAAGGCCUGGGCUCUUAGAAACACAAAAGCCAGAAAUUAACCACUUGUGUUUCUCUUUGUCUUUUGGCUGUGGCUUCCCUUUCCCUAGGGCAAAGGACAAUAAAUAUCUAGUUUGAAAGUAAAAGGACCACUGAGUGAACAAAGAGACUUAUUGUCGUAUGUAUGUCCCUGUAUGUCUGUGUAUGUGUUUGGGGUGUGUGUAUACAAAUGUAUGUGUAUAUUUAUAUUUUUGGACAAGUACAUGUAGUUAAACUUGAGUAAGUGCUAUGUGCAGGCUGGAACUAUACUGGACUUUAACGAUAUCUAAGGAAGGCGAAAAUAGAGUUGCUUUUGGUUUCUUAAAUUGUUGAACAUCAUCAGUUAUGAUAUGUACCUCCAGAAGAACGGUAUCUGUAAAUGAUGAUUCCCAAGGCUUUACUGAUGGUCCUGACUAUAACUGCAAUUAAAAUCCACUGCCUCAAGACUUCUGGGGCUCACUUCUUAUUACUCCAGUGGUUAAUUGAAGUGUUACUCAAGGCUGAAAAUAGUAAGCACGGCCAGAGGCCUCCUCGUGUCUCUGUUUCUAAGGGCUUCGGUCUUGAAGAGGAGGAUGCUGGGUGGUUAGGAGGAGAAAUGAGCCCCUGUUUCCUCCUGUGACUUCUUCUUGAACUAAUGAGUAAUUAUAUUCAAAGCCCCUGUACACAGGGUGUGAUACAAAGGUUAAACUUAGUCCCCCCCUUGUCAAGAGCUCAGUGCUAAAAGAACUUGAAGGAGGUUCCAGAAUUCAGCUAUUGGAGUAACUGUUAUUACAGAGUCCCUACAGCAAUGACUCUGGGGCUAAAGAGAAAGAGAAUUAUCUCCCAGGUUUAUAUGUGUGUGUGUUUUAACUCCUACUGCCACCUCCCUCUGGCUAAGCCAUCUGUGAGCUACCCUCAGUCUAUGCUAGCACCUUCCCCUCCCCCCCCCCCCCGGCCAAGCUUGAGAGAUUUUAAAAAAUUGGUUUACAAAAUUGCCUUUUUUCUUAAAAUUCCCUUUUCUUAAUUCUAGGAAGCAGUGCUUAGAGAUACUGCCUCUGGAGUCCAAUAGAGUUGGCUCAAAUCCUUGCUCUGCCAUUUUUUUAGCAUUGUAAAUGCAUGCCUCCGUUUCCUCAACUGUAAAGUACGGUUCAGACCAGCAUCUGGCUCAGCAGACACACAGUGAGUGCUUACUGAGCAAGAGGCAGCAAGAAUAUUGAUAACCCUCACUUGUUUUCCAGAAAACUUGGGCAAAUUAUAUGCAUUCUUAGAGUCAAUGCUUUGAGUGCUCCUUGAGGUGCAAUCCUAUCUGCAAAACACUGGGAAAGAUUCUGAACAGACUAAUGGUGAGGCUGUCUGGUGAGGUAGAAAGCCUCCCCUGACAGCUGUGUGAGUGGUCCCUUCUGAGCCUCAGUUUUCUCAUCUCUAAAUCGGGCAUGAUUCAAUAACGACAGAGUAACUUACUGCAGAGUCAGUCAGUUAAAGAUAAAAUAAAUAAUCUAAAAAAAGUGAGAAUUAAAACUUUUGUGGGGGUCAUGGCCUUUCUAAUGAAGCUAUAAUCUCACUCCCCAGAAAAAUAUGUGCGUAUGUGCACGCAUGUGUGUGCAUACUCAUCACACACACACGCACACAAUUCUAUAUACAAUUUCAAGGGUGCACAGAACUAGGCCAAACUCCCCUGAUGAAAGAAGCAUAAGUAGGAGGGGCUACCAAGCCCCUAAACUGAGCAUAUCAUCAAAAUGGGGAAGUGGAAUUUGCCCGUGAGUUUUCUGGCAGAUACGGAGGAGAGAGGGGGAAAAAGAACUGCAUUCCAUAGUGUGUGUUUUUGACAAGAAAAUGCAGAGACAAAAUGGUUUUUGGAAUCAAACUCAAGCAUUCUUUUCCUAAGAGCUGAAUAUACUGCAUGAUUUGCUUUUGUUGCUAUAUUUUUUUGUUUGAGUCAUUUUGGUUCCCAGAUAAAAUGUUAAUAGAUUUUCUUGAAAUUAAAAAAAAUAAAUAAAUGAAUACGACGAGAGAGCACGUCCAGUGUCACAGUGUGGAAGAUAAAGAUGUACGGUUUUUCUUUAUCCUUUUCUGAAACCCUUAGUCAUCCCCUUUUCUGCUAACAGGCAAUGUGGUUAUGCAAAAAUUUCUUAUGUGUAUUUUCACUGAUGCAACUGCAGGUUUUGAAUUACGGAUAGUCUUUGCAUAAAGACUAAAACAAUAAAAGCAUAAUUAGAAUACGUGGUAUACAGCCGACUCCAGUUUUAUUUUGCCCCAGCUCUGUAUUUAUGAUAAAUCACUAACACAACCGCUCUUUAGGGAGGGUGAUUUUGGGUCUCGUCUCUCCAUUGAGCAAAAACAGUGCCUGUGACUAGAGGCUGAAUUUCAAUUCUGCAAGUGUACAGUGGAACUGAAUAAUAUUUGGCACAAUGCAGUGCACAACCGAGCCACUAAAUGGCUGAUUUACUAAAUUAUUAUUAGAUGAGCCCUUGCUGUUCCAAAUGAAAGUGCAGUCACUGCCUUCCUUCGUGGUGUGUUCAAAUUGUUCUGUGUUUAAAUAUUCAGCAUGAGGCUAAUGUGAACUGAUGAACUGAGACUAUAAACAUUCACUUUCAAUACAGAUAGAGCGACAGAGAUGAAACAUAUCAUGUGGCCUGCGGAGGUGAAAAUGAUUUAUAUUUAAGGAUGUUGCUGCCUACUUCCAUUACUUUAAGGUACUCUUAAUUAGCAUUAAGAGUUAGAAAUGACUAAUUCCCAUGUACAGGAAGAGGAGGCUGGGAUUUUUUUUUUUUUUUUGCAUGCCAGUGCAGAAGUUACCACGAGGAACCGCUGCCUGUGUUGUUGUUCAGAACCUUGAGUUUUAUUCAUGGUGGGGUGCACCGCACCAGCAGAGUCAUGUGUCUGCUGGGAGAACUAUGGUGUCCGACAGUCAGUGUUUUUUCUCAGCCCACCCAAAGGGUCUACAGUCUAUCCUCACUACCAUCCAUCCCUCUGCAAUCCACCUCCCUUACCAUCACAUCUACUACACCUGCUACACGGACCCCCCAGCACCUCACUCUCCACGUCACCAAGCUUCUUUACUGACACCUGCUGGAGUGAAGAACAACCCUUUGCUCCUUGGGCAAAGAUAACCCCCUCCUCCUUCCUCCCCUUUGAGGGCAGUUAUAGGCAAGCACUUAAAAUACUGUGAUCACUUACAGUAGAUUAGAAUUUUUUAUGGGUACCGUGUUGCCAUAACAACACGAAGACAGCAGAUGACUUAAGCUAAGCUUGCAAAGCAAAAGGCUGCUCAUCUGGCAGUUAAAAUGAAUACAGUUCAUUUCACAAGUUUCCCAUAUGGACUCUUAGUGUAUGGUAAUGAGGAGACCAUAUGGUGAGAGAAAAUGCACUAAGAACAAUUGGGUUCCACUGGCUGAGUGGGAAGUUGGGAGAGAAAACCCGGGUGAGAGAUUCUGGUGCGUGUGCUCUCUGGGUUCAAGGUUUGGUUGAGGUUUGUUUGGGAUGGUUGUUUUCCAUAGUGGUUUCGCGUUUCUUAAUCUGUUCCUUAAUAUGUCAGCUGUGCGAAAUGACAAACAUCUUGCAAAUUUUGCAAUAUCAUUCAUCACAAACUGUCAGCAGUGUUUGCAAAUCUGACUUGCAAGAUCCUUUAAAUGUGUUGUUCUUAAAAGGCAACAGUACUAAGUUUUUAGACAAAGUGCAGGAAAAUUUAAGUACUUCUGACAAGCAGAAACAUUAACAGUAAUCAUUUUAAAAACACUCGCAUCUUUUGCCUGCAUGUUUAGCUGUAAAUAAUGCUAGAAUGUAUAAAAGCUUUAAACUAAAACUGUAAUAACUACUUUUUAUUAUGUUUCGUAAAGGAUAAAGAAAAUGCUGUGAGCCAUGUGUAUGGGUUACCUAUAGGUGCGGACGUAGGGAGAUGGAGGGUUCCCAUUCUCCUUACUGCUCACCAGAUUGGAAACCGGGGAGGACAGCUUGAAAAAGGCUCUAAAGUCAAUUCUGUACUAUACAUGCUUCAUAAAAGAUGAAUAUAAAUGCAUUAGUUAGACGCGGUGAGCUAAAUUAGAAGGUCAGGCAGGGCUGCGAGGGCUGAAAAAUCACACAACCAAUGAGUGUAAUUACUCUUUUUUAAGUCUAUUAAGUGGUGUUGCUCUAUCAAGGCUCAGGGAUAUAGGACAUGAAGAACAAGAUAAAGUAAUGUGUAUUUAUUACUCCCACCGGAUCAAUUUACCAGAUAUUUUCAGCUCCAUAAAGCAAAACACACAAAUGCCGCCUUUGUUACUCUUCUCAAACUGCCUUAUUUUCUCUAAAAGAGGGACUGGCUCUGGAAGAAAAAACACGUUUGCCCUGUGGAGGUCCCCACGCAAACCCCUCUGGGUGGGGAAUGAGAGAAGCUGGUGCGUAUUUGAGUAGGAAGGGGCUGAGGUUAGGCGAGAGACAGGAGAGAGAAGCCAGUCCCCUCAAGGCAGAAGUAUUUGGGUUUCCAGACCUGGGAGGGAAAUGGGAACUUGAUGCAGUGAGGCCGGAGGCCCCAGGUGCUAAUCUCAGUUUUCCCAUAUGCUUGCUGUGAGUGGUAGCAUGCCACCAGCCCUCUGGGAACUCUGACCCUGUGAAAUGGGGAGUACCCAUCUUGCAGGGAAUAGUAGCCUCCAUUUACUGAAGUCUCACUAUAUGCCAGAGAGUCCUCGUUGCGUACAUUAUCUCAUUAACGCCCAAUAGCCACGCUGCGGGACAGCUGCUUUACAAAGGAGAAAACGGGGGCUGAGAAGGGUGAGUCCCGUGCACGGAGCAGUGCAAGUGGUUUUCAAAAUCCACGUCCAUCUGACCUGAGAGCCCACUCUCUUGGCCUCAAUACCCUUCAAAAACCUUGAUAAAGCCGUGCCAGGCACAUCGAGGGCAUGACGCAAAGGUUACCUGUUCCCUGGGAUUCACUGCAAACACACGGAAUGCCAGCCAAGCUCGGUGCCUUUGUGCUAAUGCUCACUGACCACUCAGGAAGACAACUACAAAUCGAAAGGGGACAGAGACACCUCUGGCCUUCAAAACAGAGACAGCUCCUUGUUCAGUGUUUCUGGAUGGCCUCGUGCAUUUCAGCAUCUCAGCGUUUCUGAGUCCCCAUCCUCCGCACCUCUACAUUAUAAGAAAAGUCAACCUUUGCCCCAAAGUUGGUCACAUGUUCCUCUCCCUCCUGCCAGGAUCCAGAGAGGAAGGCACGUCUGUCUGUAUGACACAGAAUGGAAUGCUGCAGCUGAAAAACCUUCGCCUGCCCUUCUCCACGUGCACGUGAAAAAGGAAACCAAAGCACACCUGGGGUUGGCAUAAUUAUAGUAUUUUAAAUUUGUGUGUACAGCAACUAUCACUGAUGGUGGCUUUCAGGGACAAAAUAAUUUACAGAGAAGGGUUCGGCUUGCUCCUGUUUUCUCGUUUGGUAACUAGGAAUGAUGUCUGCUUUCCCGACUUCUCUCACAAGAGGGGCUCCAAUAAAACAACGCAUGUACAAGUUCUUUGAAAAAGCACAAGCCAGUAUACAAAGGCAUAUUAUCAUGGAAAGCUGUCUGCUUGGUCUUUGGAGCAGUUUCAUUUGACAGAAUAUGUGGGUGGUUGUAUGAAUCUAGCUUUGUCUAUUCGCAAACACAUGGGUUUAAUAAAGUGGAGUUUGUUUUUUAAGGUGUGUGGUCCAUGGCUCACUGAAACACUCCUGUUUUACAAACACUGACCAUGAUUCUAAGAAAGGCGGAGCCCGUUUUCAUCCCCCUAACAAUGGACAGCGGGACUAUAAAUCUCCCAGGUCCACAGGAAUACCUCGUGCUGGCUCCAUCCGCCACUUCCUGACCUUGCUCUUGAACUCUCACUCCACCUUCACAUUCGGAGCCAAGAGGACACCACUCUGAUCUGAGUCACACAGAGAGCUUCCUGGGGUGGGCUCUGGCCAAAGUCCUCGCACGGUCCAGUGGCUGGAUGCACACUGUGGAGUGUUUCCUUAACACACAAACCCAUUGUGUCCUUGAUUACUCUUCCCAAACCCAGGAAAACGGGGCUGGGAAUUUCACCAUCAGGCCACCGGAGACAAAGUGACACGUGCCUGUGCUAUUUGGUCAACAUUUCUGAACGUGAUAUGCAGCCGUGAAAAUGUUAUGAAAAGUAAAUACACAAAACUCAACCAUAUAGUCCUGUUUCUCUCCUUUCUUUAUGAAUAAGAAAAGUAUUGCUUGGCUGCUGUAGACCUCAGCCAUUAAACCAAAUCUGUCUCCUGUUUUUCAAUCAAUAUUUAUGGAGUGGCAGUUGUGGGCCAGAAACUAUGCUGAGGCUCCCACAGGAUUACUUCUUUUUGUCCUAUGUGAUCCCAGUGAAGUUGGCACGAUUAUUUCACCCCCAUUUUAUAGAUGAAGAAACCGAGACACAGAAGAUAAACCAUACACUCCACUGCUGACCUGAAUUAGGACUUCCUGCUCUGCAGAGAGUGGGUAGGAGAGCUCUCAGAAGCCAGGGUCCCACUCUCACUCAACUGGCAAAUAAUUAUAGCUACCUUUUGUGGACUGCUAAAUGAGUGAUUAAAGCAACCCAAAAAAGUAGGAAGUAUUACCAUCUCCAUUUGACAGACAAGGAAACUGAGGCACAGAGAGGUUCAGAAUUUGGGGGGUGGGGAGAAAGAAUUUUGACCCAGACCACAGAGCUCUCCAGUCCCUUCAGCAGACUCUAGGGACAUCAAAUGCCAAAUGAAAGUGAAAAUGGUCCUCAAAUGGAAACAAUGGGAAGAAUCUGGCAAUGCCCUCAUGGCUUCUUCCCACCAUUGGGUGGACACACAUUAUUUACAUCUUCGUGCUAUAAAAUUACCGACUAUUUUCCCAUAGGAAAUGCAUGGGAGUUGGGUUCUUGCCAGACAGGAAGCUAAAGGUGAUUCUCUUCAUGGCACACCCAUCUGUGGAAGCAGAGGGCCGUUCACUAUUACUGUUAGAUUCUGUAAUUGCUCACCAAGAAUAAGUCAGGGUGAAAGGGAAGGAGGUGUAAGAUGGAGGCCCCUUUCAAAGACAAGGAUAUGUACGGACCGACACAUCAUAUGAUUUCUUCCUCAGGUGAAAUGCUCUCAAGAUGUUUUUUUAAGGUGAACAGCGCCAAGUGGAAGUGAGGCUGUUAUGGGAACUCAGGGUUGAGACUGAAGGCUCUGUGGGUCUUCCCCCGGGGUCUAGGAGAGGGCAGAAUUUGCUUGUCACGGUUCUUCCUCUCUCUGGGCAGGCAGUGCCCCAGACCCACCCCCCAGCGCCUCACAUCUGUGCAUCAGUUUCGGCGGGGAGGGGCAGCUUUCUCCUGGACAGGCCUGUUCUGACAGUGGUCCUGCCGCUUCAGUGCAGCAGGGCCCACAGGUAAGAUGUGAUGAUGAAAUGAUCGCCCAAAGAGGUUCGCGGAGCUAGGAAGGAUGCCAACUUCAUUUUUAUAAGUGUAUUACGAGCAGAAACAGACCUGGACAUGACAUAUCUCUAGACUUGCUGUGGCAUGGAGAGGACCUUUCCUCUACUCAUUUAAUUUAUACUAAUUUUUACUUGUGUAGUAAAUGAAAUUUCAUUUUGCUGUCAGUAAACAGUGAAUGGUAGCUCGACCAAUUCCGUUCGUUGAACUUCUAUAGCAUUUAACUGUUCUCUCCUCUGAGUCCUCCCAGAACUCUGGUUGCACUUUUGUUAGUUGUACCUAUUGUUUUCUGUUUUGUAUGGCGUUGUAUUUGGCUUUCUCUCCCACAGGGCGUCCGAGUUCCUUGGGUAGAGAGAUAGGAAUAUCCCCAACAUUGACAACAGGUACGGAAUAGAAACCAAUAACUGUGCAUUUCCUUUUUUUCUGCAUUGGCAAUUAAUACCAUUGCUGUAUGACAUAUCUUGCUCUACCUUGAAUUUGUGUCUAAUUUCUCCCACUUGUGUCUUAGGUGGGAUGCCUCUGGAGGGAACAGACUCAUGUCUUAGUAGCCCCGGUGCAAGGUGUGCCAAUAUGCUUUCCUUUGAGCUCUAGCUGUUCUCCCCUCACCAGAAAUAAGUAAAGAUCCUCAUGGGGGUAGAAAAGCAAUGUUCUUUUUCCUCUUGAGAACUGAUACGAUAUAAUGAUUAAUAACCUGGACUUAGGAGCCAGGCUUUAGAGGUUUGAAUCUCCGUUUAGCAAUUUACAUGCUGUGUGACCUUGGGCAAAUGAUUUAACCUCUCUUUGUUUGGUUAUCUUCUUCUCUAAAAUAGAGGUGGUAAUGGCACCAACCUCAGAGGGUUUUUUAGAGGAAGAAAUGACAUGAUAUAAGUAAAACAUUACCUGGCACAUAAGUGCUUGCUACUUUGAUUAUUGCUUACCUUAUAAUACUAAACACACAAUGCACAAAAAUAUUGAGUUGCUUAUCUAUGAACUAACUUUUAUCAAUGGCAAAGUUUUCUGCCAGUCACCUGAGCCCGUGUUUCCAGAGACCCUAACCCAAAGAGGAG
Aethalodelphis obliquidens (Pacific white-sided dolphin) is the source of this 16445-nucleotide long non-coding RNA. RefSeq lists it as uncharacterized. Lineage: Eukaryota; Metazoa; Chordata; Mammalia; Artiodactyla; Delphinidae. The record is from RefSeq and is a predicted model, not a curated record. The transcript is spliced from 6 exons.